CUGUGCAUGACAAUUCUAAGAUGAAACAACAAACAAUUAAUAAAUCAAUCUAACAUAAAUCUACACGCGGCCAAUAAAGAAAGAGCACGUAAUAACAACAUUGAGUGAAAAAAAUUACACACUUAAACAGGUUUUUAUUUAAAAACUGAUCGGAAACGAAUCGAGAAGUUAUUCGUGGUUAACAUUUUCAAUUUCACUCGUAUACAGUUAGAUAACAGGGCAAAACACGGUGCCCAUAAACCUUACAGCGUUUGAGUUAGGCUGAAGCAACAAAUGGGCGCCGGAUGGACGCAACAACACAAACUAAACAGCAACAACAACAAUGCGUAAACUAGAUAUAUUGCUACAGGCUUAUUGUAUGCACCCAACCGACAAACACAUUUCAUACAAAAAAAGAUUUAAAACAUUUAGUGGUGCAAGUAAAGAAAGGAAAAAAUAUGACAAAGUCAACGAAAAUCUGAGAAAACUCUUGAAUUUGAUGUUAUGUUUAACAAUGUUAUUGACUUGAGGACGGAAAAACGAGAGAAAGUAUUAUCUGUGCUGUUGCGAAAUGUCAGUAUUACAGCUACCGACGAUUCGUGUUCUGCUAGCCAGAUGACGUUGACAGUUUUUUUUUCGUAGUCCAGACGACAACACUGCUCGCUCAGGGCUCGCCAAUUCGACGAAUAUAAGUAUCGACUCUCUAUCAGAAAAACACUCUCUUACUUAGGUCCAUAAGAGAGCAGAGUUUCACCAAAUUUUAGCAAUAUUUUUAACGUAUGUUAUUCGCAUUCCAAAACUAGCUGUUUCUUUAAUAUUAGUUAACUAUUUUUUUUUCUGUAAUUUCUUACCUGAUCCGCAACAUCUUCUGUUUUUGCAAUAUAUUCAUUUGGGAUGUUCAUUGUAUUUUGUGUAUUAAACUAAGUCGAAUCUGCAACCUUUACGUUUUUUGACUGGGUCUGGUUUGUGGACUUUCGCUUGUAUGCCAGUGUCCUGUUUGUGUGCGGUUUUUGUGUAGUUCCCUUUAAUUUUCUUUUAACUUUUAGUUCUUUAACUUUGUCACUUUAUUUAUUUAAAAAUUACUAAAAAAAGUCAAAACUAUUACUUUUCUAAUAAAACUUAAAAAGAAAA
Stomoxys calcitrans (stable fly) is the source of this 1110-nucleotide long non-coding RNA. RefSeq lists it as uncharacterized. The record is from RefSeq and is a predicted model, not a curated record. Lineage: Eukaryota; Metazoa; Arthropoda; Insecta; Diptera; Muscidae. The transcript has 2 exons.